CACGGUGUCUGAGAUCAUGGACCUCGUGGGCAGGAACGUGCAUCAGCGCUGGUUCCUCCUCUUUCUGGUGGCAACUCCCAGAUGUGUCCUGUCCCAGGUACAGCUGCAGGAGUCGGGACCAAGCCUGGUGACACCCUCUCAGACGCUGUCCCUCACCUGCUCGGUCUCUGGAUUCUCUCUAAGCGACUAUGAUGUGGACUGGAUCCGCCAGACCCCUGGAAACGGUCUGGAUUGGGUUGGUGCUAUAGGUUAUGAUGGAAGAACAUACUAUAAGCCAAGUCUUCAGUCCCGACUCAGCAUCUCCAGGGACAUCUCCAAGAACCAAGUUUACCUAAAACUUAGCAACUCAGUAAGUGAGGACACAGCCAUGUAUUAUUGUGCAAAAGAAACACACAGUGAGGGCAAAUCCCUGUGA
Non-coding RNA from Sorex fumeus (smoky shrew), 415 nucleotides. NCBI's taxonomy places the organism in Eukaryota, Metazoa, Chordata, Mammalia, Eulipotyphla, Soricidae. The record is from the annotation of a RefSeq genome assembly.